UUUUUUUAAGUAUAUUCAUUAUUUUGUUAUUUAAAGAUAUAUACUGCUACUUGCCUCCCGGGAUUUGUGAAACACAUAUCAAGAGGUAAGUCUAAGAAAUGUAAUCAACGAUCAGAACAAAAUAAAAGGAAACAAAUCAAAUAGAAGAAGAAAAGAUUAUGUAUCUAUAACUGCUCCUGAGAACUUGCUACCAUAAUCAUCCGCUUCAAGUUGAAUCUUUACCAUUGAAGUCAUCCUCUCUUGGUUCUCACCAUGCCGCUCGUCUUCAUGGAUCUAUCCGACCAUUUGCACACCGGUCGUCUUCCUAGUCACCAAUCUUUGUUUGCAUCUAUAUCAAAUGUGUCGUUGUCAUUCUGAGUUAUUGUCUUUUAGGACGACCUUGACAAAGGUAAUGCUUUUUUAAUUUGUUUUGUUCUUUUGGGUUUGUCUGUCUAAUUUGUUUUGUGUUUAAUCAAUUACUGAUGACUUUUUUUUUUGUUACUGAACUCUAUUGGAGGAUUGAUUGUAUCAAAUGUGCUCCAACUGUCCAUAUUGAUGCCUUGAUUGAUUUUUAGGUAUAUACGUUGGUGUUUGUUCUCUUAUUCUUUCUAAAGGGUCUAGUGUUCUCAAUUAUAAGUUUGAGUGUUAUUCUUAUGUUUAAUUUAAUUAGUUUUCCAAUGAACACUUCUAUCAAGUACGUAAAGGUUUAUUUAACUAUAGUGUAGGUACAUAAUUGUUUUUAUAUUUACAUUUGUAUUAAUAUUUAAGCUUAGAAAUUAUAUAAACAAUAUAUAAGGUUGCUUUUAGAAUAUCAAUCUUAAAACAAACAAAUUGGUAUCGCAUACUACUAAAUUGUUAAUCAUAUAGGAUAAGCUUAUCGUUUAGAGUUUGCUCUCAUUGAAAACAAUUUGGAUACUUCUAUGUUUCUAAAAUGUUAAUCAUAUAGGAUAAGCUUAUUGUUUAGAGUUUGCUCUCAUUUGAAAACAAUUUGGGUACUUCUAUGUUUUGGCCCCCUAUUUCUAUUGCUCAUGUUUUGUCCUUUGGUCUAAGAGCCUUUUUUUUUUUUUUCUGGCUCAUCCUGGAUAUUUGAAUCCUCAUGACCGGCCCUGAUGACGAAACAUGAAUCAAGUUAUGCAUCGGUGCCAUCAAGUUAUCACUCCUAGCAUUCCAAACAUAUACGACAAAUCGUAGAAUUCUGUGACUUUAGUUUAACAGCUGAGAAAGUGAGUAAUAAUUAGCAAUAUCACUGUAUUGCAUAAUUGUAUAACUUUGGGGAAAAUGACAAAAAAGAAUAAAAGAUUAUGCAUAAUUAUCCAAAAAGAAAAUUAAAGUGACAUUUCAUCUUCUCUGUUAAGCAAAACUCAACUUAUUCGAUUCUCCUAGCGCACUGUUGUACUUGAUGACAUACCACACCAGCUAGGUUGUGUCAGCUAGCCAGAGUGGACAGAAGUGCUAGGAUUGAAUAACCAAUAAGUUUAUCAAAAUGAAUCAGCUUGUUUAGUCGAGCGUCUGUGAAUUUUUUGAUAGACCCACUGGAUUAAAGAUCCACACUCACGUCCGUUGACAUUUUGGCCUUUGGAUGGGUAGGAGGGAAACAUGCUUGUGUGGAUCUUAAUGGAGUCUUCCCUUUCGUCAGUUUGAGGAACUGGGGUUUCACAGCGGGGCAUGCCGCUUUGACAAUCGUCUCAUGCAAAAUGGCAAAGCACGAGAAUGCAUUCAUUGAAAAUUAACAUGUGUUUAUAUCUUUUGUAUUUGAUACUUUUUGGUUUUCUCGCACUAGAGGUGGCGGAGCUCCUCAACAGAGUUCAAUGAGUCAUGUAUUCUAAUGUUAUCAUGGGCGGAUCUAUAAUAGAUCUCGGGGUAUCCCGAGAUACCCCUGAAAAAUAAAUUCG
Molecule: long non-coding RNA, 1871 nt
Filed under: Lactuca sativa (garden lettuce)
Lineage: Eukaryota; Viridiplantae; Streptophyta; Magnoliopsida; Asterales; Asteraceae
Description: long non-coding RNA (LSAT_LNC006228)
Source: RNAcentral